GAUGAACGCUGGCGGCGUGCCUAAUACAUGCAAGUCGAGCGAACAGACGAGGAGCUUGCUCCUCUGACGUUAGCGGCGGACGGGUGAGUAACACGUGGAUAACCUACCUAUAAGACUGGGAUAACUUCGGGAAGCCGGAGCUAAUACCGGAUAAUAUAUUGAACCGCAUGGUUCAAUAGUGAAAGACGGUUUUGCUGUCACUUAUAGAUGGAUCCGCGCCGCAUUAGCUAGUUGGUAAGGUAACGGCUUACCAAGGCAACGAUGCGUAGCCGACCUGAGAGGGUGAUCGGCCACACUGGAACUGAGACACGGUCCAGACUCCUACGGGAGGCAGCAGUAGGGAAUCUUCCGCAAUGGGCGAAAGCUUGACGGAGCAACGCCGCGUGAGUGAUGAAGGCCUUCGGAUCGUAAAACUCUGUUAUUAGGGAAGAACAAAUGUGUAAGUAACUAUGCACGUCUUGACGGUACCUAAUCAGAAAGCCACGGCUAACUACGUG
RNAcentral lists this ribosomal RNA (497 nucleotides) under uncultured bacterium. Its description in RNAcentral is "partial 16S ribosomal RNA". It matches the Rfam family "Bacterial small subunit ribosomal RNA", at positions 28 to 507 of the family's 1533-position model. The record is from RNAcentral.